GAUGAACGCUGGCGGCGUGCCUAAUACAUGCAAGUCGAACGAAACUUCUUUAUCACCGAGUGCUCGCACUCACCGAUAAAGAGUUGAGUGGCGAACGGGUGAGUAACACGUGGGCAACCUGCCCAAAAGAGGGGGAUAACACUUGGAAACAGGUGCUAAUACCGCAUAACCAUAGUUACCGCAUGGUAACUAUGUAAAAGGUGGCUAUACUACCGCUUUUGGAUGGGCCCGCGGCGCAUUAGCUAGUUGGUAGGGUAAAGGCUUACCAAGGCAAUGAUGCGUAGCCGAAUUGAGAGGUUGAUCGGCCACAUUGGGACUGAGACACGGCCCAAACUCCUACGGGAGGCAGCAGUAGGGAAUCUUCCACAAUGGGCGAAAGCCUGAUGGAGCAACGCCGCGUGGGUGAAGAAGGUCUUCGGAUCGUAAAACCCUGUUGUUAGAGAAGAAAGUGCGUGAGAGUAACUGUUCACGUUUCGACGGUAUCUAACCAGAAAGCCACUGCUAACUACGU
This 511-nucleotide ribosomal RNA is filed under the name uncultured bacterium. Its description in RNAcentral is "partial 16S ribosomal RNA". It matches the Rfam family "Bacterial small subunit ribosomal RNA", at positions 28 to 506 of the family's 1533-position model. The record is from RNAcentral.